GCCACGCUGCACUUGGCGCCACUCAUUGCCGUAUUCACCGUGCUUGCAUUCCGCGCCUUCGCGGUGCGAUGGGCCGACGCCCACGCGGACCCGAUUGCGCCCGGAUGAUCUUACGCUGUCGCGUGGUAGCCGCCGCCAUGCACGCUCGAAGGAAGGUCAGCACGCGCGCGCAUCCGCGCCUCUCGACCUGAGCGCGGUUUCGUACGCCGCUUCGAGCGCACGCGUAUGCCGCGGCAUAUCGGUUAAGAUCGAAUUUGCCAGGCCGCCGCGGAUAGUGGCACGCACUCGUUCCAUGAAGGCCGCAUCGGUCGCGAGCCUCACGGACACGUUUACAUACUCGGAUUCGCUGGUUGCGACGGUGUCGGUCACGCCGAGGUUGACGAGCAUGCUAUAUCCGGUGCGCUCGGCAUGUCGCGCGCCCACGAGCGUCACGACCGGAACCGCCAUGGCGAGCGCCUCGAGCGUGCCGUUGACACCACCGUAGGGCAUCGGAUCGAGCACAAAAUCGACGAGCUCGUAGCGUGCCUGAUUUUCGGCUUCGGUGCGGCCCUGUGGGACGAACACGAUGCGAUCCGCGGGAAUGCCAGCGGCGCCAGUGAUUCGCAGAUACGACUCCUCCAUCGCCGGACUGAACGGCGAAAACGCGAGCUUGGCGCGCGGAAUGCGGUCGAGAACUUCGCGCCACAAUGCGAGGCAGCGCUCCGACAAUUUCAGCGCGCUGAUAAAGGCGCCGAUGACGAUCGCCGUGGAUGGUAUUUCCAGCCGUGCGCGACUAAAUGGAUGGUUGCGUGCGGGCGCGACAUGCCGGAAAGGAUAGACGCACCCGUCCAUCGGCAGCAUCGUUUCGAGCUGAAAGGCUUGACUCGCGGCAACAUCCGCAUAGCGGUCGGUAAGCUUGAAAUCAACCGCUGGACAGCCCGACGCCACCGGCACAUGCCACGUGCGUGAUCUGCACGCGCGCGGGCUUGAACGCGAGAAUGCCGGGUCUCGCGCCCUUGGUGUGCGUCGAAAGAUCGACGAGGAUAUCAAGAUCGUCAUUUGCGAUGCGCAGCGCUGCGACGCGUUCGGAGAGGUCGGCAAUCACUUCGAAACGAUCGCCUGCGCUUCGAAAACGUUCUGUCCAUUCAUCGGCGUCAUGGACCAGAGAAUAGAAAUUGAUCUCGAAUCGGGAACGAUCGUGAUGCUGCACAGCCUGCCACAUCAUCUUUCCCAUGACGUGAUUACGCAAAUCUCCCGAGAGGUAACCGACGCGCAGCCUCCCUGGCUUUCGCCUCGCCCUGCGCGGCAGCGGCUCGCCAUACACGUGCUUCGCGGCGGCGUCGUACAUGUGCGCGAAACCCAAUACCGUUUUGGGCUCGACGUCGAAGAAAAGCAGCAGGUAGUUCAGUUUGCUCGAGGCAGUCGACCAGCUCGAUUUCGUCACUCGCCACGAAUUCGUUGCGCGCCAAUCCCGUCAGAUAUCGG
Molecule: unclassified non-coding RNA, 1464 nt
Filed under: uncultured fungus
Lineage: Eukaryota; Fungi
Description: sequence contains 18S rRNA gene, ITS1, 5.8S rRNA gene, ITS2, 28S rRNA gene
Source: RNAcentral